GUUGAUGCUGGAGGCGGAGUCCGGCUCCCGUAGGAGUCCGGGCGGAGCUAUCUUGUAGCUGAAGUUGUUGGUCGUCGGGGAUGAAGUCCGGCUCCCAUGGGAGCCCGGGCGGAGAUCUCUUUUGAGGUUGGCCUUGUAGGCGGAGCCGUUGAUUCUGUGAAGGACUUCGGCUGGGGGUAUUUUAUACCCAACACCAGUCUCCCUACUUCCGAGUUUGAAUUUCGAACGAAGGAAGUACAGAGAGACGGACACAGCCGAAGUCGCCCCUUCGAAUACUGCAUACCGCCGCCCCCAGAUAUUUUGGCAUUUAAUGUGUGUACGUCAGAGCCCGC
This 332-nucleotide long non-coding RNA is filed under the name Elaeis guineensis (African oil palm). Its description in RNAcentral is "long non-coding RNA (EGUI_LNC049509)". The record is from RNAcentral. Lineage: Eukaryota; Viridiplantae; Streptophyta; Magnoliopsida; Arecales; Arecaceae.